AUCCCAAUACUCUAUCUUACCCCUUUGUCUUACCCCUUCCCCUUGGUGUUGCGCGUUCAUGUGAGAUCAAGGGCCAUCUCAAUUCUCAUUUUGAUCGAGGGGGAGGGGUAAGGUUAAGGGUUAGAUACCCCUUAAAACCAAGCUAGUUCGCGGGCUCACUUGAAACCAAGGGGAACGCAAAACACACGGCGAAACCGGCAACAAUGGCGGCCAAAACAUCGAGGGAGUCCCACAAAUGGACACCGGAGGAAACCAGGAGGCUGAUUCAUUUUCGGGCAGAACAUGGCCAUACGUUUUUGAGGUCCAAAUAUGCUGCUAAGCAACAAUGAGAACUGCGAACACCCAAAACUGGGCCAGGUCCUACAGACGGGGGGGAAGUGACCGCUGCAACCUGGCAGUUCUUUGAGGACGUGCAUGAUGUGUUGUUGGGUGCCAGGCCUUCACUCGACCCUCCUGUUGUGGCAUCUUUUUCUGCGGAUCCCACGUCAAUCCUCAUGGAAAUUGUUGAGCCCUCAUCCCCACCCUGCACCUCUGUAACCAGCCCUUCAGCACCCUGCACCUCUGCAGCCAUGAAAAAAAUCAACACCAUCCUGGAUUUCCUCACUGAGGAGUCCAACAAGGAGCAGA
Sardina pilchardus (European sardine) is the source of this 627-nucleotide long non-coding RNA. RefSeq lists it as uncharacterized. Lineage: Eukaryota; Metazoa; Chordata; Actinopteri; Clupeiformes; Clupeidae. The transcript has 4 exons. The record is from RefSeq and is a predicted model, not a curated record.